CAACCCUCAAGCUCUGCUUGGUCUUGGGCACUGCCGGUAACGGCUUGCCUUAAAACUAGUGGCGGUGCCAUUCGAGCUCUACGCGUAGUAAUUAAACCCUCGCGAUUGAGUCUUGGUGGAUGCUUGCCAGCAACCCUCAUUUUUUUAU
This 148-nucleotide unclassified non-coding RNA is filed under the name uncultured Hymenoscyphus. RNAcentral describes it as "partial internal transcribed spacer 2". The record is from RNAcentral. Lineage: Eukaryota; Fungi; Ascomycota; Leotiomycetes; Helotiales; Helotiaceae.